CCUAAUUUUGCUCUUUGGAGAGGAUCUCUUAGAUGCUUAGGCUCCUUUUCAUCUUUUCUAGGGUUUGCUUUUCCAUCUUUCUUCCAUUUUUCAUCUAGUUCACCAUGUCUAUGGUGAACUAAACCCUAUUGUUGUUNGGGGAAACAAUGUAAUNUUUUGAUACUCUCUUUUAUUGAAACUCUUGAUUAUUUAUAUGGUCUCCAUAUGUUUUNAUUUAUAAUUGUUNGGUUAUCAUNUGUGCUUAAGGCCUUUAUCGUUUAACUCAUUCGGUAACUGAUGUUUGUCUUUAUUGAUAUGGGGACGUACAGUAAUGACAUGAAUUGGUGAGUAAUCUCUUGAUUUUGCAAUACCACCUAGGGAUAGGGGUANGACNAUCAAUUGCNCUAACUUCUGUUUAUAAUGCNGUAUUAAUUACUAGGGGAGGCUAGGGAUAGCAAGCCAGUAGUUAAUAUUAGGCCCUUUUCGUCGAGGGAUCGGGUUAAGGGGAGGCUAAGAAAGUCGCAUAACAAUUAAUUAAUCAAACUAAUAUUCAAGAGGAGUAGAUAAGAGAGGGAGGAUUAGAUGAAAUUGUCAACC
RNAcentral lists this long non-coding RNA (576 nucleotides) under Vigna radiata. RNAcentral's name for it is "long non-coding RNA (VRAD_LNC001973)". The record is from RNAcentral. Lineage: Eukaryota; Viridiplantae; Streptophyta; Magnoliopsida; Fabales; Fabaceae.